RNAcentral lists this ribosomal RNA (213 nucleotides) under Triticum aestivum (bread wheat). RNAcentral describes it as "partial small subunit ribosomal RNA". Lineage: Eukaryota; Viridiplantae; Streptophyta; Magnoliopsida; Poales; Poaceae. The record is from RNAcentral.
AUGAGCGUUUUGAGCUGGAACUGCCGGGGGCUUGGGAACCCCGAGGCAGUUUGUGAGCUUCGCAGCAUUGUGAAGCAAGAAGGACCCACUCUGUUCUUUGUAAUGGAAACGAAAAUCAGAGCGAAACGAGUAGAGGAUCUAAAGCACUCUCUAGGUUUUGGAGGAUGCUAUGCCGUGGACAGUGCUGGGCUUAGUGGUGGCAUUGGUCUUUUU